GAAUUGCAUGCAUUUUUGCAUGUAAUUAGGCUAUAAAUAGAGGUGUUUUCAAAUGUUGAAGGACUUUUGCCUCUUUUAUCAUUUUCAUCAUCUCAACAAAAGAAAAAAGAAAGCUUCCAAUCUCAUUUUAUCUCCAUUACUUUCUACACCAAAAUUGGGUCCCACAACCCGGUUCUUUGUCUAGAGGAUAGCAGUUGAGUACUAGUGGUGGUCUCGGGUAGAAUUGGUAAGAAGACAUCAAACAUUUUGAAAGCUUCAAAGGUAAUACUUCUUAAAACCCUAAUUUGAUUAGUUUAUGGUUACAUGUUAAUUGUGGCAAUUAGGGUAGAAAUUCGAUUCUUUUUCCGCUGUGCAUGACUUAGUUCUAUCAAGUAUCAAUGUAUGAAGCGAAUAAAAUUUUAGGUGCACUAAGAAUGAAUUGGGAAAAGAUUCACGCAUGUCCUAAUGAUUGUUGUUUGUAUAGAAAAGAAUAUGCUGAUGCAAUCGAAUGUUCUGAAUGUGGUGAAUCAAGGUGGAAGCAUGCUAAUAAUGCAAACAAAGGACAAAAAAGAUUCCUAGGCAUUAUACUUUCCACCGAUUCUACAUUUCAAAAGAUUGUUUCGAAGUAUUAAUUACCAUGCUAAAAAUUUGAUUUGGCAUGCUAAUGAGCGAGUAGUUAAUGGAAAAUUACGACAUCCCGCGGACUCUUCAUAAUUUAGUUGGUCCCAAAUUUCAUAAUUUGUAAUUUUAUCAUUUGAUUUGACAUUUAAUUUGGGAUAGUUUGUGAUUGAGUAAAAAGUUCUUACUCAAUACUUCGUUUUUCGAAAUAUGUGUUUCAAUUUUACAAAACCAAUAUUAAUAGGAAAAAAAAAACUCCCUUUUCUUAAAACAUGUUCUUAGUUUGUGCCAUGCACAUGUGAAAGUUGUAUUUUAUUUUAUUAAAAAAUCUAUAUAUUUCAACCCGAGAAGGUAAAUUAUUUGAUGUAAAAUCUUAUUUUAUUUUAUUGGAUAUUUUUAAAAAUAGUAAAAUAAAUUAAAAUAUUUAUAAGCUAUACCAAAAUUUUAGAUUCUAUUAAUGAUAGUCUUCUAUCACUAUAGUAUAUCAACGAUUAUCAAUAAUAAAAUUUUCUAUAGGCCAUAAAUAUUUUGUAAAAUUUGCUAUUUUUGAAAAUUUUUCAUUUUAUAAAAGUUGUUCGUAAUUUGUUUAUUUGAAUACUAUUAUUAUUUUGAAACUUUUGGCAUUUGAGUGUAGUAAUAAAUUUUAGAAAUAAUUUACAAAAGCAAUUAAAUGUUAUAAUUACAUGAUGCCACAUUUUCCACACAAAUGACAUAAACAGGGUUCUUACAUAUUUUGAUGUGAAUAGCACAAAUCUCAUAUCUACAAAAAGAAAAGAAAAAUAAUAAGAGAGUCAACACGUAAAGAAAAACAAGAGUGGUAAUCGCUUGAUGACAACCAACUAAAUAAACGAUUACAAUACUAUGGAGAGAUUUUAGAUAGGUACCAUUUCUAGUAGAGGGAAAAUAUAGACAAUAAAACAACAUGUAGUGUUGUUUAAAAUAAUUAGUAGAAGAUGGCAUUUCUAUGCCUACGAGGGUGAAAGAAAAAUAGAUAAAUUAAACGGGAGUUUUUAAAAAAUAUAACAAAUCGAUAAAAUAUUUACACUAGAACAAUUUAAAAAAUAAAAAAAGUCUAUGGGCCAGUAAUGAAAAAUACAAAAAAUGUCUAAAUCAACGCAAGAUUAAUUGGCCACUCGCAUACGUAAUAUAUUUGGUAUGACUACACUAUCGUUUAGAUAUAGUUACCAAAAUCUAAACAAUAUUUUUCAAGAUUCUUUGGUACACGAUCGUUUAGAUCUGGUUACUAAAACCUAAACGAUUGAGUACCAAUACUCCAACGACUUUUUCAAGAUCUUUUAUAAUUUUGGUAUAUGACUAAACCAAAUAACAUUGAAAACAAAAAAUACAAGAUUUAUGAUUGAUUGAAAACAAAGAUCGAGAUUUUAAAAACAUUAUAAAAAAAUUACAAAAUAAAUAAAAAGACGAUGAAAAGGAAAAGAAAAAAUGAAAGAAAAUUGAAAAGAAAGAAAAAUGUGAAAUAUUUUAAAAAUUGGUCGAUUUUUUAAAUUAACUUAAAUAAAAAAAAAAUAUAAGUUGAUGAUAUUAAUUACCUCUUAAACUUUUGUUGAGAAUGUAUAGGAAAUAUUUCUAUAGUUGUUGAUUGUAGAAAUAAAAAUGAAAAAGUGAGAAAAAUAAUACAAGUAUACAAAUAUAAAAUAUAAAAUAAUAAAAAGAAGAAGUCAAUAUACCUUUCAAACUCUUUUAUAGUUGUAGAAUAGAACAAGAAUAUAUUUCAUAAUUAAAUGAUAAAGUUACGUUUUUUUCAUAUUUCUAUUUAUUAAUUACAUUUAAUAAUUAAACAAAACAAACGAUGGAAAAAUUUAUAGAUGUUCACGAAUGUUAGAAUAUUGAAAGAUUUUAUUCAAAAUUAGAAAAAAAAAUAUAAAAACUCAUAAUUAAAAAAUGAAGUUAUUAGAAACAUUUUUAGUUAAAAAAUGAACAAAUUUAUUUAUUUUCAUAUAAGUUGGAGAGGGGAAGGGAGUGAUGAUGUUUUGGAGGUUAGUGGAGAUUAAUUAAGAAAUUAAAAGAGUGAAAUGGAAAGUUAGGAAUUGAUAAUUGCAUAAUACGCGUUGAAAGAAAGAGAAGUUAGUGAAUGAUUAAUCCCUAACAUAGUGCAUAUUUUAGUUUAGUCGUUGACAUCCUUCGACCAAUUCAAAUAUUCUUUUGACAUUUUAACUCUUUUUCUUUUUCUUCUUCUUCUUCUUCUUCUUUUUAUUUCAAUUUUCCAAAUUCAACUUUCUAGAAAAUGAAUAGUUCCAUUUUUUUCUUCUUUCUUUCUUGGAUUUUGGCAGUGGGAAACAACCAUUCACACCUAUAAUCUAUCAUUUCCCUUUUCCUCUUUUCUAUUAAACAAUAUCAAAAAGUCACCGAUUUUGAUUUUAUUUUAGACCAUUUCUCCAUCAUAACUUCUUCACAAUUUUUGCUCGGUUUUUCCUUUUUUUUUUUCCUUUUUUUUUUUUUUUUAAGUAAAUUUGUUUUUGUACUAAAACCAUUUAUAAGGUUUUGCUUUUAUUUAUUUAUUUCUUUACAUUCUAUUUUUUAAAUGGGUUUACCAUACUUUUCAAAUUUCAUUAUACAUAUUCUUACAUUUUACUUAUGUAUUUGCAAACAAGUUAGUUGCCAAGUUUAGAAAGGUUUUUUCUUCUGCCUAAAGUCAUUUUUCUAAAAUUUCUUUAUAACCCUAAUAAAUAACAAAAAAAGAAACAUUUUUAAAUAUAUGAUAUUGAAUUAAAAUAUUUACAAAAUAUAACAAAAAUUUUAGAAAAUGUUCGACACAGGGGAUUAUAAGUACUAUUAUAGUAUGCGUUUGAGAUGCAGACUAUUAUAGUCUAUUAAGUUGUGUUUGAGAGGACAUUAUUAUAAUAUGAGAUUUUCCCUACUCAUUUUUUUUGUUUACGUAUAUACUGUACAUAAAAUACACAUUUUUCUUAAAUUUUUUUCUUUCUUUUUUGGUAAAAUGAGAAAACUGUAUAUAGAGUUACAUACAAGUGUUAGUUGAGUUAAACUUAUGUUGACAAUAUAUAUUAUAUUUGUUUAAUAACAAAUUGAAUUUAAA
Molecule: long non-coding RNA, 3652 nt
Filed under: Cucumis sativus (cucumber)
Lineage: Eukaryota; Viridiplantae; Streptophyta; Magnoliopsida; Cucurbitales; Cucurbitaceae
Description: long non-coding RNA (CSAT_LNC000147)
Source: RNAcentral